Molecule: ribosomal RNA, 211 nt
Filed under: uncultured bacterium
Lineage: Bacteria
Description: partial 16S ribosomal RNA
Rfam family: Bacterial small subunit ribosomal RNA
Source: RNAcentral
CGGACUGUGGUCUGCAACUCGACCACACGAAGCUGGAAUCGCUAGUAAUCGCGAAUCAGCAUGUCGCGGUGAAUACGUUCCCGGGUCUUGUACACACCGCCCGUCACACCAUGGAAGUCUGCAAUGCCCGAAGCCGGUGGCCUAACCACUUAUGUGGAAGGAGCCGUCUAAGGCAGGGCAGAUGACUGGGGUGAAGUCGUAACAAGGUAUC